This 279-nucleotide ribosomal RNA is filed under the name uncultured bacterium. RNAcentral describes it as "partial 16S ribosomal RNA". It matches the Rfam family "Bacterial small subunit ribosomal RNA", at positions 506 to 784 of the family's 1533-position model. The record is from RNAcentral.
UGCCAGCAGGCGCGGUAAUACGGAGGGGGUUGGCGUUGUUCGGAAUUACUGGGCGUAAAGCGCACGUAGGCGGACUAAUCAGUCAGAGGUGAAAUCCCAGGGCUCAACCCUGGAACUGCCUUUGAUACUGUUAGUCUAGAGUUCGAGAGAGGAGAGUAGAAUUUCUGGUGUAGCGGUGAAAUGCGUAGAUAUCAGAAGGAAUACCAAUGGCGAAGGCAGCUCUCUGGCUCGUCACUGACGCUGAGGUGCGAAAGCGUGGGUAGCAAACAGGAUUAGAUA